UACGUAGGGUGCAAGCGUUGUCCGGAAUUAUUGGGCGUAAAGAGCUCGUAGGCGGUUUGUCGCGUCUGCUGUGAAAACUCGGGGCUUAACCCCGGGCCUGCAGUGGGUACGGGCAGACUAGAGUGCGGUAGGGGAGACUGGAAUUCCUGGUGUAGCGGUGAAAUGCGCAGAUAUCAGGAGGAACACCGGUGGCGAAGGCGGGUCUCUGGGCCGUGACUGACGCUGAGACGCGAAAGCGUGGGGAGCAAACAGG
RNAcentral lists this ribosomal RNA (253 nucleotides) under uncultured bacterium. RNAcentral describes it as "partial 16S ribosomal RNA". It matches the Rfam family "Bacterial small subunit ribosomal RNA", at positions 524 to 776 of the family's 1533-position model. The record is from RNAcentral.